GAAAAACAUAAUUUGAGAAUCAAAUUGAUUAUCUAAAAUAAAUAUUCGCGGAUGUAAAAGCAAUUUUGAUACACAAAUGGGUCAACUAAAGACUAAAAUAGUUGUUUGUUGAAUGGUAAAUCAAUUACAACAUGGCAUGUGCAUGUGGGUUUAUACAAUCAUCCAUCAUCUUCAACAAUGAUCCCUUGUACCUUUUUCUUUGCCACCAUGUGAAACUUUUCAGAAUCCACUUACNN
RNAcentral lists this long non-coding RNA (236 nucleotides) under Trifolium pratense (red clover). Its description in RNAcentral is "long non-coding RNA (TPRA_LNC012741)". The record is from RNAcentral. Lineage: Eukaryota; Viridiplantae; Streptophyta; Magnoliopsida; Fabales; Fabaceae.